This 208-nucleotide ribosomal RNA is filed under the name Klebsiella pneumoniae. Its description in RNAcentral is "partial 23S ribosomal RNA". It matches the Rfam family "Bacterial large subunit ribosomal RNA", at positions 2735 to 2925 of the family's 2925-position model. The record is from RNAcentral. Lineage: Bacteria; Pseudomonadati; Pseudomonadota; Gammaproteobacteria; Enterobacterales; Enterobacteriaceae.
GCACUGCCCGGUAGCUAAAUGCGGAAGAGAUAAGUGCUGAAAGCAUCUAAGCACGAAACUUGCCCCGAGAUGAGUUCUCCCUGAGACUAUAAGUCUCCUGAAGGAACGUUAAAGACGAUGACGUUGAUAGGCCGGGUGUGUAAGCGCAGCGAUGCGUUGAGCUAACCGGUACUAAUGAACCGUGAGGCUUAACCUUACAACGCCGAAG